This 61-nucleotide microRNA precursor is filed under the name Limulus polyphemus (Atlantic horseshoe crab). Its description in RNAcentral is "Lpo-Mir-3931-P1_pre stem-loop". The record is from RNAcentral. Lineage: Eukaryota; Metazoa; Arthropoda; Merostomata; Xiphosura; Limulidae.
GGUUUGUACCGAUUCAGGGCAAGGUUCGUCGAAGUAACUACUUUGAGUCGGUACGAAUCAC